This 966-nucleotide long non-coding RNA is filed under the name Mustela putorius furo (domestic ferret). RNAcentral describes it as "lncRNA (ENSMPUG00000025308.1)". Lineage: Eukaryota; Metazoa; Chordata; Mammalia; Carnivora; Mustelidae. The record is from RNAcentral.
GUUUCCAAGGAGAGAUCCUGUUGGAAGACCUUGUCUCCCAAACUCUGGGGAAGGAACAGGUGUGCAAACUGGCAGGUGACUCGUUUGCAGCAAUAAGAGAGAGAAACUGUGGUCUCUUCCCCCUUGUGAUUGUCGUGUUCAGUGAGCCAGGGACUGCUCCAGAGCCGAGUUGGGCUGUGACUCUCAGUCUGAGGAAGUUUGUCCUGACGGAAUCUCGAGGUCAAGGGGGACGUGUCACUGGAGCCGGCAAGCAUGACCCCGGGAGGGCUGACUGACCUCCAGACGGGCUUUUCCUGGACCCGCAUCCAACGCUGUUCUCGUCAGACCAGGCUGCCUUUCUGGGACUUCAGCAUUUCGGAAAGGAUCUGAUGGGUAUCUCAGAUGGUGCUAGGACAUAAAUAGCUACUUCGGGAGAAUGUUGCCUCCGUGAUGUGAUGAGUGAAUCAGCACCACAUUGAAUUAGCAGCAAUCUGGUGCUCAGGGUAAUGGAGUGAUGGUAAAUGAACAUUAUUACAUUUUUACGCUGUGAAUGAGUCCUUAGUAAAAAAGAUAAAUAGCUUCCAGGUGUCUUGCCACAAGAGUUAAACAACUGAGUCACUCACUGGCUCUUGAUGGAAGAACAGCGGCAGCCUAGCGUCUCCUCAUGAGUCAGCGACAGCCAACUUGGAUUACCCCCAGAUCCGACGUUAGCGUCAUUCCACAGUUGCCACAGCACAGUCAGUGCCCCUGCCGGAGGUGCACGAUGAGAGGAAGUUCUAGUGAAGGAUGCUAGCUGCCCCUGUCCCAUCUGACCAAACAGCCCCAGAGGCUACAGGCUGCCUACCCCAGGAACCACCUGUGGAUAGUCCGUGUCAAGGCGUGGACUCCGUGGCCAUCCCUGAGCAGGCCUGAUGGAUGCGCUGACUCCUGUGGUGGCCCAGGAGGAAAGGUAAUCUCUCGAGAACGUCCCCUCAGCUGGCUCAGCCC